This 490-nucleotide ribosomal RNA is filed under the name uncultured bacterium. RNAcentral describes it as "partial 16S ribosomal RNA". It matches the Rfam family "Bacterial small subunit ribosomal RNA", at positions 30 to 507 of the family's 1533-position model. The record is from RNAcentral.
AUUGAACGCUGGCGGCAGGCCUAACACAUGCAAGUCGAACGGUAACAGGAAACAGCUUGCUGUUUCGCUGACGAGUGGCGGACGGGUGAGAAAUGUCGGGGAAACUGCUUGAUGGAGGGGGAAAACUACUGGAAACGGUAGCUAAAACCGCAUAACGACGCAAGACCAAAGAGGGGGACCGUCGGGCCGCUUGCCAUCGGAUGUGCCCAGGUGGGAUUAGCUAGUAGGUGGGGUAACGGCUCACCUAGGCGACGAUCCCUAGCUGGUCUGCGAGGAUGACCAGCCACACUGGAACUGAGACACGGUCCAGACUCCUACGGGAGGCAGCAGUGGGGAAUAUUGCACAAAGGGCGCAAGCCUGAUGCAGCCAUGCCGCGUGUAUGAAGAAGGCCUUCGGGUUGUAAAGUACUUUCAGCGGGGAGGAAGGGAGUAAAGUUAAUACCUUUGCUCAUUGACGUUACCCGCAGAAGAAGCACCGGCUAACUCCGUG